CAAUGAUGGCAUUACGAUCAUAACAAUGAUGGCUAUCAUAGGCAAUCAUUGUUAUGAUCGUAAUCCUAACACUGACAAUCAUUGUUAUGAUUGCCAUCAUUGUUAUGAUCGUAAUCCUAA
Molecule: microRNA precursor, 120 nt
Filed under: Stegodyphus mimosarum
Lineage: Eukaryota; Metazoa; Arthropoda; Arachnida; Araneae; Eresidae
Description: microRNA mir-598
Source: RNAcentral